This 88-nucleotide transfer RNA is filed under the name Pseudomonadales bacterium. RNAcentral describes it as "tRNA-Ser". It matches the Rfam family "tRNA". From Rfam's summary of the family: Transfer RNA (tRNA) molecules are approximately 80 nucleotides in length. Lineage: Bacteria; Pseudomonadati; Pseudomonadota; Gammaproteobacteria; Pseudomonadales. RNAcentral also lists the same sequence under 2 other names. The record is from RNAcentral.
GGAGGGGUGGCAGAGCGGCCGAAUGCACCGGUCUUGAAAACCGGCGUGUCGAAGGGCACCGAGAGUUCGAAUCUCUCCCCCUCCGCCA